UACGAAGGGGGCUAGCGUUGCUCGGAAUCACUGGGCGUAAAGGGUGCGUAGGCGGGCCUUUAAGUUAGGGGUUAAAUCCUGGAGCUCAACUCCAGAACUGCCUUUGAUACUGAGGAUCUUGAGUCCGGGAGAGGUGAGUGGAACUGCGAGUGUAGAGGUGAAAUUCGUAGAUAUUCGCAAGAACACCAGUGGCGAAGGCGGCUCACUGGCCCGGUACUGACGCUCAGGUGCGAAAGCGUGGGGAGCAAACAGG
RNAcentral lists this ribosomal RNA (253 nucleotides) under uncultured bacterium. RNAcentral's name for it is "partial 16S ribosomal RNA". It matches the Rfam family "Bacterial small subunit ribosomal RNA", at positions 524 to 776 of the family's 1533-position model. The record is from RNAcentral.